Polyodon spathula (Mississippi paddlefish) is the source of this 1304-nucleotide long non-coding RNA. RefSeq lists it as uncharacterized. The record is from RefSeq and is a predicted model, not a curated record. Lineage: Eukaryota; Metazoa; Chordata; Actinopteri; Acipenseriformes; Polyodontidae. The transcript is spliced from 3 exons.
CCAGGAUUUGAACCGGGGACCUCCUGGUUACAAGCUCUUUUCUUUAACCAGCAGACCACACAGCCUCCUAGAAAUUAACUGAAAGGUAUGACCAAAAUAGCGUGAGAAAAAGGUGAGACUUAUUUUUAUUUUUCCAAACCCAGCCCAUAUUUUAACUAAACAUUCCAGCUUCCCGCUAAUAUCCUGUUGCAGCUAAUUCCGGAAAUGGUGAAAUUAAAUUUGUGAAUUUAAAAAGUGCAGUUUGUGAUUUAUCAUUGAGUAGAAAGACAAUGUGGACAGUCCACACUAAUUUACAUUGAUAAUCCUGUUUUAUAGCAUGAUCCUCAUUUUACAGUAAAUUGGACCUCUGCACUGCGAUAAUGAGAUGCACAGGAGCAAAGGUGCCAACGAAGGAAGUGAUUGCUCGAGUUAAAAAAAGGCUUUUGAAAAUAGUAUUUUGGUGCAAAGCUAUGAAAAGUGGGGCAGUGCAAAAUUAGCUUACAAGCAAUUACAAUUCAAAUUGUUUAUGUUCAGAACACAAUAUGAACUAACUUUUAAAGCCCUUCAUGCUCUUGCCCUAAAUUACAUAUUAAUAUUCAAUAUAAACUAUCCAUAUUCAGUAUAAACCCUCUAUACUACACUUAUAUAGUUUAAAAUUACCCAGAUCUUCACAUUCAAAUGACAAUAUUUGAGUCCCAAUGUAAUUUUUCCUAUUGAAAACCACCUUUGGAUAUAUCUUUCACUCAGUAUUCUACACAGUUGUCUCCUUCUGACAGCUUUAAUCAACUGCAAAGAUUCAUGUCUUAAAAUUAGCCUCCAUCAAGUAUUGAGUUACCAGAUCUUUUAUUACCAGUAAUACAUUUUAAUUGUGUUUCAUUAAUUGAAAAAAUAAAUAUUAACUAUUUUGUAUGCAUUGCCCUGCACUUAUCUAUUUAUAUAUUGAGCUUUUGUGUAUUAUUAGUUCUUUUCAGCAUCGCAAGACACUUCUUCCGGGACCCUCACCAGCUGCUUUCCCCCCCCCCACAACCAAACAAAUCAGAGUCCUGACAGUGCUGCUAAGGGAAAUACAUAGGGUGCCAAAAAUUAAACACGUCUGAAGACUCAAGCUACACAGAAUUCCUACAGGAUGAUUCUGAAGGUGACAGCCCCGUUCCCACCACAAAAUGAAAAACCAAAGUACAAAAAGAAGACAUUUUUAUUGAAGUGCUGGAAUUGCAAAAGGGAAAUCUUUUGUUGGAAAGGGAAAAACUCGAUUUGGAAAUGAAAAUGCCAAAAUUAAAAAUAGACCAAUUAGGGCAGAGUCAAUAAAAGGGAAGGGCUUGAUA